UACAGCUAAUGUACAUGUAAGAUUUACAUCUAUCACCUAUCAUUAUUGUUAGUCAAAAUGCUAUUAAGUAGGUCAGAAGAUUCGAUAUCUUAUUCUGUGUUUCAAGAUAACAAUUUAGCUGUCGGUUUUUUGGCUAACCUAAUAAUACAGGUGUUUUUGAAACAGAGACCUAGGAACAAAAUUAAAAGGGCUAAUAUAAAUAAAAUGACUAAAAUUUUAUUAAUUUAGUACA
Molecule: long non-coding RNA, 232 nt
Filed under: Ananas comosus (pineapple)
Lineage: Eukaryota; Viridiplantae; Streptophyta; Magnoliopsida; Poales; Bromeliaceae
Description: long non-coding RNA (ACOM_LNC000044)
Source: RNAcentral